CACCCGUAUCAGAAUCUCUUCCAAGUUCCAUAUUUUCUCCUCGCACCAGCCCAUGGAUACUGGAAGAAUCACAAACUUCACAUUAGAAGAUGCCAAAUGCGCCAGCACAUGUUCUCCAGUCUAUUAUUGCGGUCACGUGUAUUCCUAGUUGCAAUCACCUUGAUUUAACAGGAAGGAUACAGUUUAGCUUACUGGAUUGGGAAGUCUUAUCAUUUAUCCAAGGCAGCUUAGAAAUAUGGAAGCUAAGCAAAAGGACUUUCGAUUCAUCAGGUACAAGUCUCAACCAUCGAUCUUGCGUGAUUAAAUUCCUACCUAUUCUAGCAUGCAAUACUUGGAUAAUUUUUUUAUUUCCUAAGCGGUAGUUUGCAAUUAACUGUGAGAGCUAAUAAAAAGGUUACAGUCAUAAUAUUCCCCCAUCAAAAAGUGGCCAAAAAGAGGUAAGUAAGAGUGGGGGCGCUGACGUUUCCUUGCUUUUAGAUUAGAAAGGAAUAUAUACCCUUAUGUGUCACGCUGUCUAUUUUUGUUUCUUUUUAUUAACAGUUAGUAAUUUGAACUUCUUUUCGAUAUAACUUAAAUAAAAAUAACAAAAAAGUAAUCAGAACUUAUGAACCAAAAAAUGUUGAGGAAUACAGUAGUGCAUGUAAGUAUAGUAAUAAUUUAAAUCAUGCAUGCUGCUAAUUGAAAUAACAAGAGAUAUAUGCAGAGAAGAAAGGGAGGGGGAGAGAGAGAGGUAAUUAAUUAAUGUGUA
Molecule: long non-coding RNA, 748 nt
Organism: Cucurbita maxima (winter squash)
Lineage: Eukaryota; Viridiplantae; Streptophyta; Magnoliopsida; Cucurbitales; Cucurbitaceae
Exons: 3
Source: RefSeq, a predicted model, not a curated record